This 144-nucleotide transfer RNA is filed under the name Gagea bulbifera. RNAcentral's name for it is "tRNA-Leu". The record is from RNAcentral. Lineage: Eukaryota; Viridiplantae; Streptophyta; Magnoliopsida; Liliales; Liliaceae.
CUUCCAAUUCAGAGAAACCCCGGAAUUAAAGGUUCAAGUCCCUCUAUCCCCAAUAAAAGCCUAUUUUUAUUACUAACUUUACUUCCUAACUACUUUUUAUCUUUUUUUUAAUCUCAAAAUUCAGGGGCUGGGUAAGAUUUUUUA